UUUAUGGAGAGUUUGAUCCUGGCUCAGGAUGAACGCUGGCGGCGUGCCUAAUACAUGCAAGUCGAGCGAACAGAUAAGGAGCUUGCUCCUUUGACGUUAGCGGCGGACGGGUGAGUAACACGUGGGUAACCUACCUAUAAGACUGGAAUAACUCCGGGAAACCGGGGCUAAUGCCGGAUAACAUGUUGAACCGCAUGGUUCUACAGUGAAAGACGGUCUUGCUGUCACUUAUAGAUGGACCCGCGCCGUAUUAGCUAGUUGGUGGGGU
This 268-nucleotide ribosomal RNA is filed under the name Staphylococcus pseudintermedius. Its description in RNAcentral is "partial 16S ribosomal RNA". It matches the Rfam family "Bacterial small subunit ribosomal RNA", at positions 1 to 258 of the family's 1533-position model. Lineage: Bacteria; Bacillati; Bacillota; Bacilli; Caryophanales; Staphylococcaceae. The record is from RNAcentral.